RNAcentral lists this ribosomal RNA (301 nucleotides) under uncultured bacterium. RNAcentral's name for it is "partial 16S ribosomal RNA". It matches the Rfam family "Bacterial small subunit ribosomal RNA", at positions 509 to 807 of the family's 1533-position model. The record is from RNAcentral.
CAGUCGCCGCGGUAAUCCGUAGGUGGCAAGCGUUGUCCGGAAUUAUUGGGCGUAAAGGGCUCGCAGGCGGUUUCUUAAGUCUGAUGUGAAAGCCCCCGGCUCAACCGGGGAGGGUCAUUGGAAACUGGGAAACUUGAGUGCAGAAGAGGAGAGUGGAAUUCCACGUGUAGCGGUGAAAUGCGUAGAGAUGUGGAGGAACACCAGUGGCGAAGGCGACUCUCUGGUCUGUAACUGACGCUGAGGAGCGAAAGCGUGGGGAGCGAACAGGAUUAGAUACCCCCGUAGUCCCUGUCUCUUAUAC